AGAUACGUCUCCUCCAAAACAAGUCCUGGAUCAAAGGCAAACACUAAUAGAGGCUAACUUGGUUCCUGCCUCGGUGGUCCACUUUGGCGGUGCGAUGAAGCCAGGGGUACCGCUUCUCCGUGAGGACGUUCUGAGCAUGGUCUCGACACCAGGCGGGGCCACAGCGGCAGCUACGCGGCUGAGGGAAGAAAUAGAAACUCCGCUCGUGUCGAGCAGUGCAUCGUCCUAGCGAAGAACGGAUGCUGCUGAAAUUGAAGUGUUCACUUCUUUCAUGUUUUUGUACAACUGCGCGUGUGCAUGAGUUCUUUGUGCUUCAACAGAUAUAAACGCUGAAAUGAUAACGUAAAGCACACUGAACUGUGAUUGAAGGAGUUAAGAAAAAUAAACAAAAUAGUCAACACCUGU
Long non-coding RNA from Rhipicephalus microplus (southern cattle tick), 405 nucleotides. NCBI's taxonomy places the organism in Eukaryota, Metazoa, Arthropoda, Arachnida, Ixodida, Ixodidae. The record is from RefSeq and is a predicted model, not a curated record.